AGUUGAAAUCAGUUCUUUGCUCAAGCAUAUUUAUCCUCGUAAACGCUUAAGCGUGCAAUAUUGUACUGUCCUCUUCAAUUAUAAUAUUCUAUUCAAUACAAAACAUAUGAGAAAACUGAAUAGAGAAAAAUAUUAAAAAAUUAAUUGUUCGAUGUCCUACCUUUCGGCUUACCUUCGAGGUGCGAGUUCUGAGCAUUGUGCGACGAUGUCGACGAUGGAUCCGCGGAUGGUCUGAAAGGAGAAAAUUCGGGUCUGCAGCAACGGGAAUAGAAAUGAUGGUCGUAAUGGCGUACGAACGAAUGCGUUGUGUGCGUUGCGAUGGCGAUGCGAAGACGACGAUUCGAAGCGACAUGUUGAAGCGUAAUGAAAGAUGAAAUCAAACAAAACAACAUUAGCUGACCGGAAUUCGAUGUUGAUGAUGGAGCCUUAUGCUGCCUGUUUGGCCUUGGCGGGGCCUCUGGGCCCUGUGACACACCAAGCUCGUUGAGUUGAGCGGCCAGCAUGUCCAAGUCCUACCACCCACACACACACACGCACAACCCCGUUAGUCACUGUUCCGAAACACCUCCAACAAUUGUUUAAAAGCCGCCACCAAUUAGCCAGGCGAAGCAGAUGCAGAGGUACAAUAUAUAUAUAUACGAACUAUUUCUAUUCCUUUUGAUUAUGUUUUGAGAUCAAAAUUAUUAAAAAAUUGCUUCAUUUUUUUGUAUAAUUUUUUGUAUAUGAUGGAUUAACAAAUGGACAGACAUAUAUAGACAAUUAUUACAUAAAAUAUAUUUUCCAAUGCAGUUAGAUAACAACAUAAACCAAAAGGACACUGACAAACACAUUUAUUUCCCUGUUAAAUAAUAAAUAUGUUACGUUUUUAUUACAUUAAAAUGUGAUGAGUGAAAUUUUAGGUUAUUUAAAAUAUUAUUUCUGAAUUAACUUAUACGUAUCUUGGUAUACAAUAUGUGUCGUGUUUUAUACAUUUAAUGCAAACAUGUAUUGCGUUUAAUGCAUUUAAAGCAGUACAUAAUCGAUUUUCUUGGAAGCAUACAUUCAGGUAAUUUGUCUGAAGCAUUCAAAAAUGUUGUAUUAUUUUUAAAUAUAAUAGGAACUAAACACGAUAGGAAUAAAUAAUACACAUUUAAUAAAGAUGAAAUUUAGAAAUCAUUUGAUUGUUUCUGUAUAAAAAUAAACCAAGCAAAUUAUUUAGUAAUACCAAAAAGAGUAUAUCACAGCCGCGUGUAACUUGUUUUAUAAAAUUGCACGUAUGGAUAAUUAAAAAUGUUACGCGUAGGGAGAAGAAUACAUGUCACUGUAUUAUGUAUAAAUGUAAAAAAAUGAGAAUGUAAAGAGAAAAAUAAGUGUAUGUGUUUCUUACCUCUGGUUUCCUUGGAGGCAGCUACGGUACGUGUGAACAUGGAAAAAAAACAAAAACCGAAUAAUUUCAAAUCUACGUGCAAGAUGCGCGGAUAUGUAUUUCUGUAUGUAUAUAUGUAUGUGUGUGCACGCGUGUCACGUUUAUAAAUGCAAUUAAUUAUACGCACGCUAGGAAAUAAUUAUGCAAUUAUAUUUGCAUACACGCCAGCGACUCAAUAGCAAAAUAGAAGAAAACUCUGCGUGCUACUGAUAAAAAUAUGUAUUUGUUUAUAAAAAUGUAGCAAAAGAAAAAUAUAAAAAUAUAUAUUUAUAUAUACAGUGUGUUUGAUUUAAAUAGCAAUAAUUAAAUAUCUCAAAAAAUACAAAUACAAUGCCUUUCACAUCUUUUGAGAAAUUUAACAAUUGCCAUUUAAACCAAAUACGCUAUAUGUAUAUUGCAAAAUAUAUACAAAAUACACUAAGUUAAUGAGAGGCAGCAAGAAGGCAAAGUAGGGUAAAAACAGCAUGUGCUUGUCUACAAUCUUUAUAAAUUAGAUUGAAUCAUUCAAUGUUAGAAUCUGCUAUUAUGACUAAUCUUAAUAAUAGCAUUAGUAAAUAUCUGAAAAAAAGAUAUUUCUUAAAAGAAUAAUUGUCAUAAACAAUUCUAACGAUAAAUGAUUCAUUUUAUAUAUUUUAUUGGCAUAAAAUAAGUGCGAAAGAAGAAGUUGCAAUACGGAAAUAAAGAGAAAUAAAAAACAAUAAAAACUUACCAUAGGCUUAAAAACAUGACUGUUUCUUUGUGAUGCUGAUUGUCCACCAGAUCCUCCACUACCACCUCCACCAAUAAGAGGUUGAUGAUUGGAGGGUGGUGUCGAAACUUUAUGAGGUUGUCGUGGAUCAUCUCUAGGUGUUGGAGGUAAUGGUCGAGACGGUGGUUGUGGAUCUGGAACUACUAUACAGCACAAAAUAAUUAUGUAACAUUUAAGAAAUCCGAUUCGUUGUUAGAACAACGAUCAACAGCAAUUUCAUAUAUAAAAUGUAUUUUUAGACUAAAAAUAAUUGAUUAAUGAUAUACUAUCAAACGCACCGAUUAAUCUGUGUGGAAUGGCAGGUCGUGCAGGUGGUCCUGGUUCUGGUAUAUCUCUUUGAGCUCUGCUACUGGGUUUUUCUUUACCAGCAGGUGGUUGAGGAUUUACUUCUUGAGUUAAAGUUCUACCUUCCUGAAUUUGCUGGAAAUUUCUACGCAAUGUAUCACCACCAGGUGCUUGAACAAUGGAUGAUGCUUCACCAGCCAAUGCUGGUUCAUCUUCUUCAUUCUCACUACCACUAUACCGAUAAUCAUCUCUUUCUAUAUAACAAAAUAUAAAUAAAGAAGCAUCAUUAAAAA
Apis cerana (Asiatic honeybee) is the source of this 2731-nucleotide long non-coding RNA. RefSeq lists it as uncharacterized. NCBI's taxonomy places the organism in Eukaryota, Metazoa, Arthropoda, Insecta, Hymenoptera, Apidae. The record is from RefSeq and is a predicted model, not a curated record.